This is a non-coding RNA of Pelobates cultripes (western spadefoot toad), 121 nucleotides long. The record is from the annotation of a GenBank genome assembly. NCBI's taxonomy places the organism in Eukaryota, Metazoa, Chordata, Amphibia, Anura, Pelobatidae.
AUCAAUACACAUACGGCUUUAUUGUCCUGAGCACAAAUAUAAUACAUAUACAUGUGUGUGUGUGUAUGUGUAUAUGUAUUAUAUUUGUGCUCAGGACAAUAAAGCCGUAUGUGUAUUGAUA